CCUACGGGAGGCAGCAGUGGGGAAUAUUGCACAAUGGGCGAAAGCCUGAUGCAGCAACGCCGCGUGAGGGAUGACGGCCUUCGGGUUGUAAACCUCUUUUAGUAAGGAAGAAGAACUUCGGUUUGACGGUACUUGCAGAAAAAGCACCGGCUAACUACGUGCCAGCAGCCGCGGUAAUACGUAGGGUGCAAGCGUUGUCCGGAAUUAUUGGGCGUAAAGAGCUCGUAGGCGGUUUGUCGCGUCUGCUGUGAAAUCCGGAGGCUCAACCUCCGGCCUGCAGUGGGUACGGGCAGACUAGAGUGCGGUAGGGGAGAUUGGAAUUCCUGGUGUAGCGGUGGAAUGCGCAGAUAUCAGGAGGAACACCGAUGGCGAAGGCAGAUCUCUGGGCCGUAACUGACGCUGAGGAGCGAAAGCAUGGGGAGCGAACAGGAUUAGAUACCCUGGUAGUCCAUGCCGUAAACGUUGGGAACUAGAUGUAGGGGCCAUUCCACGGUUUCUGUGUCGCAGCUAACGCAUUAAGUUCCCCGCCUGGGGAGUACGGCCGCAAGGCUUAAAAACUCAAAAGGAAUUGACGGCUGGAGACGNGCGACGACGACACGAGGGAGGAG
This 608-nucleotide ribosomal RNA is filed under the name uncultured bacterium. RNAcentral describes it as "bacterial SSU rRNA". It matches the Rfam family "Bacterial small subunit ribosomal RNA", at positions 338 to 950 of the family's 1533-position model. The record is from RNAcentral.